Hemibagrus wyckioides is the source of this 340-nucleotide long non-coding RNA. RefSeq lists it as uncharacterized. The record is from RefSeq and is a predicted model, not a curated record. The transcript is spliced from 2 exons. Lineage: Eukaryota; Metazoa; Chordata; Actinopteri; Siluriformes; Bagridae.
AUCAAAGUUCACCUAAUGGAAGGGGGGAGGCAGUAGUAAGUGAACGCCACUGAUCUCAGAGCAGCCAGUUUAAUCAUUAUCAGGGACAUAAUGCUGUGCGUUGUAUUUGUGCUAACGGCAGGAAUAAAAAAAUAUUCACUUCAAAUGAAUGGUAUGAAGUGGUCCUGGGACAUCAUGGAAAAUUCAACAAGAUCAAGACGCUUACUUCCAGGUCCACUCCUUCAACGUGAUGAGUGUCUCUAAGAAAGAAUACUGCAGCGUCUGGAUGGGCUUUCUCCACAGCACCAGAGAGAGACGCUCUUCUCGUUCCUGCUGCCGUCGUUCUCUAACAGACAUAUCU